UACGUAGGGGGCAAGCGUUGUCCGGAUUUAUUGGGCGUAAAGAGCGUGUAGGCGGCCGUACAGGUCAGCUGUGAAAACUCGAGGCUCAACCUCGAGACGUCGGUUGAAACCGUACGGCUAGAGUCCGGAAGAGGAGGGUGGAAUUCCCGGUGUAGCGGUGAAAUGCGCAGAUAUCGGGAAGAACACCCGUGGCGAAGGCGGCUCUCUGGGACGGUACUGACGCUGAGGAGCGAAAGCGUGGGGAGCGAACAGG
Molecule: ribosomal RNA, 253 nt
Filed under: uncultured bacterium
Lineage: Bacteria
Description: partial 16S ribosomal RNA
Rfam family: Bacterial small subunit ribosomal RNA
Source: RNAcentral